AUGGACAUUUACAAGAGCGAGGAGCUGUUCUGGCAGCGUCGAGGGGGCCAGAACUGGCUCCUUAAGGGGGAUGCGAACACUUCCUACUUUCAGGCGAUUGCUAAUGGCCGCAGGCAGAAGUGUGCCAUCCCUUUCCUCUGGGAUGGAGAUGUUCUUCUGGAAAUCCCAGAGGACAUCUCCACCCAUAUUUACUCCUUUUAUAAGGAGCUGUUCUCGGCUGAGCCGCGCGGAGGCGUCUCUCUCUGCGAUGACUUCUGGCCGCUUGCUGACUAG
Molecule: ribosomal RNA, 273 nt
Filed under: Triticum aestivum (bread wheat)
Lineage: Eukaryota; Viridiplantae; Streptophyta; Magnoliopsida; Poales; Poaceae
Description: partial small subunit ribosomal RNA
Source: RNAcentral